UGGCGAGUAGCUCAGCGGUAGAGCGCACGACUGUUAAUCGUGUGGUCCUUGGUUCGAUCCCAAGCUUGCCAGCCA
Molecule: transfer RNA, 75 nt
Filed under: Pseudomonas nitroreducens
Lineage: Bacteria; Pseudomonadati; Pseudomonadota; Gammaproteobacteria; Pseudomonadales; Pseudomonadaceae
Description: tRNA-Asn
Rfam family: tRNA
About the family: Transfer RNA (tRNA) molecules are approximately 80 nucleotides in length.
Source: RNAcentral